GAACAUUUUAAAUUCUAAAAUUUGUUAGCCUCGUUGGAAUUGAAAGUUCUGUAUGUUAGUUAGGAACAACGUAAUUUAAUGUCUAGAAUAACAUAUUUUUACUCUAGUGUUACAUGACUUUAUAGAUGGUACAAAGAUCUUUGUGUGGUAUAACAAGAAAAUUCUAAAACUAUUAGUUCUGUAACUACUUUAAACUUAAAUUAUCUAAACUUCUGACAGUUACCACAGGAAACAUUUAAAAGUAAUCCUAGAAAGUGCAAAAUGUGUCAAGUUUGAUAUAUGUUAAAAGAAAAGCUUCAUUUCUUCUUAAACUAAUUGACAAUAAAGAGUUACCUGUCUAUCUGUCUUUGUCUAACAUUUUCCAGCUGGAUAAAUUCAAUUAUUACUAAACUUGACAAAAAGCAAUGAUAUUAUUAAUGAAAUUAACACAUGAUGUUAAAUUUUUACCACAAUAUUCCAGUGAUUUUUAAUUAAGUGCAUGUAAUUAGAGAUAAGAGGAGUUCAUAGGUGAGAAUGUGAAUUAUUCGAGUUUGUUAUUCUUAUUUUUGAUAGAAUAGCAACCUAUCAUUUGCACAUUUCAAAAGUUAAAUAUUAUCAUGUUUCUAGAUUAUUACCUACAAUUUAAGUAUACCUCUGUCCUUCUCAGGAAACUCAUUUGUUACACUUAACAGGGCCAUUACAUUUAUAUGUGUCAAACAUGGAGUGUCAAAGGUCAAAGAGUCCUCUAAAACCUUGACAGCAUUUAGGUAGGUAGGUAGGUGGGUGGGUGGGUAGAUAGAUAGACAGACAGACAUGAACAUGGAUACUAUGACAUUAAGUGAAUUACAAAAUUAUUAUAAUCUUUAUGCUAUAUAGACACACAAAAAUAUAUUUAAAAAUAGCACAUAUAUUUAAGAUGAGGGUUUUAAAUAGAAUGGAAAAGUUCCGUUUGAUUCAGUUCAACAAACAACUAUGAAUUUUAUCUUAUGUGUUUGGCUCUGUAUCAGGUCCCAGAUAUCCAUAUGUCAAGUUCCUGCUUCAAGGACUGAAGCUGUCAAAAAGCAAUUAAAAACCCACCUCAGGCAUCAUCAACAUGGAGUUCUCAAGUCCAUAUGGCUCCUCACAGUGAACCAGGUCUUAAGGAAAAUGCAGAGGUGCCACAGCAGGAACACGGACAGCGGUCCACCUGAGAGAGAUAGCAGCCAAGCACUCAGCUCCCCGUUGAGCUUGAUGAAGGCGGGUCGGCCUCCCCCCCUGUGCCCUUCCUCGGCCUCCCCACCUUCACCCUUCCCCGGCCUCGUCCCUGGCCACCCCUGCCCUGUCCGAGCUGAAGGCCAAGGCCUGCUGGCUCCAGAAAGGCCUGCCCCUCAUCCUGAUUCUCCUGGCCCAAGUGUGCUUGCAGCACAAGCUCGGCAUUGCCCUGUGCGUCGGGAAGGCCAGCACCCUUGUCUUUGCCAACCCCUCANCCUGCCCUGUCCGAGCUGAAGGCCAAGGCCUGCUGGCUCCAGAAAGGCCUGCCCUCAUCCUGGUUCUCCUGGCCCAAGUGUGCUUGCAGCACAAGCUCGGCCUUGCCCUGUGCGUCGGGAAGGCCAGCACCCUUGCCUUUGCCAACCGCUCGCUGCAAGAACAGGUCUCUCUGAGGGAGGAGAGGUAGGCGCUGGUCACCUUGUGGAUCUUGGCCUUUUUGGCAGGAAACGCCCUCUAUGUGCUCUCUGCAUUCAGUUCUCAACAGCCCUACAGCAGCCUCAUGCUCCUGAAGCCCAACCUGGAGACACUGGACGACUUCUUUGACCUGCUGUGGAUUGUGGGCAUCGCUGACUUUGUGCUGGAGUAGGUCACCCUCGCCCUUGAGUGCCUCACCGUGGCCCUGCCCACCACCACCCUGGCCUCGAGUCCAAGGGAAGACCGCCUGAUGACACGGGGAGAAGGCAGCAUCUGUAAGCCAAGGAGCGAGGUCUGGGAAGAAACCAACCUUGAGGACACCUCCAUCUCAGGCUCCCGGCCUCCAGAACUGGGAGGAAAUACAUGUCUGUCGUUGUGCCCCCCAGUCUGUGGCACUUUGUGAUGGCAGCCCUAGAAGACUAAUACAUCCACACACCGGUUUCCCCACACUUCUGUCCUUUUAAACUCCUUUUAUUUUGAGGAGUUAGUUUUGGGUAAAUAAUAUUGUAAUAUUGCAACAAAGGAGACAUAAUAUUCCCCUUUUUAAAUCAAAGCAUCAACUAUUUAAAAUGCAUAAUUA
Molecule: long non-coding RNA, 2221 nt
Organism: Vulpes vulpes (red fox)
Lineage: Eukaryota; Metazoa; Chordata; Mammalia; Carnivora; Canidae
Source: Ensembl